CCCUUAGAUGUUCUGGGCUGCACGCGCGCUACACUGAUGCAUCCAACAAGUUUUUUCCUUGUUCGAGAGGACUAGGUAAUCUUUUGAGAAUGCAUCGUGAUGGGGAUAGAUUAUUGCAAUUAUUAAUCUUCAACGAGGAAUUCCUAGUAAGCGCGAGUCAUCAGCUCGUGCUGAUUACGUCCCUGCCCUUUGUACACACCGCCCGUCACUACUACUGAUUGGAUGUUUAAGCGAGGUUCUCGAACUGCUAGCGACUUAGCUUCGGUGAGGUCGCAGUGUGGGAAGUGAACCUAGCUUUGGUGUCUAGAGGAAGUAAAAGUCGUAACA
RNAcentral lists this ribosomal RNA (327 nucleotides) under uncultured eukaryote. RNAcentral describes it as "partial 18S ribosomal RNA". It matches the Rfam family "Eukaryotic small subunit ribosomal RNA", at positions 1470 to 1796 of the family's 1831-position model. The record is from RNAcentral.